UGUAUCGCUAGUUUUAAUGCUACCUGGGGUUUUAUGCCAAUGUAUCAGUCUAAUUUCUCUGACAGAAGCCUGAAAAGAUUUAAAAAUCCCAGCUGAUCUAUGAUGAGGACGUCGAGCUGCGAAGGCGGCUGGCAGAACUUCUGCUGCAGGAUCUGCAGGAUGGGCUCCAUCACCCUGGGGGUGUCGCGCAGCGCCACGGCGAUGUGGCCCAAAGCUCUGAUGGUGUGGUCUGGGAUCAGAUGUAGAGACGGUUGGACAGACUGGCGAGGAAAGCCUCCACGAUGACGUUAUCCAUCGUGAGGCCAGCUUUCAGGCACCUGGGGAGACAGCAAAGAGGGAAUCCUGGUUUGGAACUCGGGGAAAAAAAUAACUUUCUGUUAUGCUAACUGCUUUGCUACCUGAUCCUUUUGAGGACUUUCUACUGGCAAAGCACAUUAAAAUGCAUAUUAGGACCUCA
Molecule: long non-coding RNA, 457 nt
Organism: Gambusia affinis (western mosquitofish)
Lineage: Eukaryota; Metazoa; Chordata; Actinopteri; Cyprinodontiformes; Poeciliidae
Exons: 3
Source: RefSeq, a predicted model, not a curated record